Molecule: ribosomal RNA, 468 nt
Filed under: uncultured bacterium
Lineage: Bacteria
Description: partial 16S ribosomal RNA
Rfam family: Bacterial small subunit ribosomal RNA (bases 58-468)
Source: RNAcentral
GGGGGGGGGGGGGGGGGGGGGGGGGGGGGGGGGGGGGGGGGGGGGGGGGGGGGGGGGGGGGGGGGCGCGAGGGGCGAACGGGGGGGGAACGGGGGAGUGACUGGACGUGGACUGGGGGAGAGCGGGGGGAAACGGGGGCAAGGGCGGGAUGGGGGCUGCGGGGGCAGGGUGGGGGGUGGAGCGUUUCGGCGGUUGGGGAUGGACUCGCGGCUUAUCAGCUUGUUGGUGGGGUAGUGGCUUACCAAGGCUUUGACGGGUAGCCGGCCUGAGAGGGUGACCGGCCACAUUGGGACUGAGAUACGGCCCAGACUCCUACGGGAGGCAGCAGUGGGGAAUAUUGCACAAUGGGCGGAAGCCUGAUGCAGCAACGCCGCGUGCGGGAUGACGGCCUUCGGGUUGUAAACCGCUUUCGCCUGUGACGAAGCGUGAGUGACGGUAAUGGGUAAAGAAGCACCGGCUAACUACGUG